Molecule: microRNA precursor, 104 nt
Filed under: Nannospalax galili (Upper Galilee mountains blind mole rat)
Lineage: Eukaryota; Metazoa; Chordata; Mammalia; Rodentia; Spalacidae
Description: miRNA (ENSNGAG00000006330.1)
Source: RNAcentral
UGUGAAUCCAGAUGGUUCAAGACUGCAGGCCCACUUCCCAUGGCAGGACUUUUCAUUUCAGAUGUGGAGAAAGUGGCCCAAAAUCAUCAAAAUGGAUUAUACAU